Molecule: ribosomal RNA, 468 nt
Filed under: uncultured bacterium
Lineage: Bacteria
Description: partial 16S ribosomal RNA
Rfam family: Bacterial small subunit ribosomal RNA
Source: RNAcentral
GACGAACGCUGGCGGCGGGCUUAACACAUGCAAGUCGAACGGAAAGGCCCUGCUUGUGUGGGGUUCUCGAGUGGCGAACGGGUGAGUAACACGUGAGUAACCUGCCCUGGACUUUGGGAUAACUUCAGGAAGCUGGGGCUACUACCGGAUAGGAGCUCCUGCUGCAGGGUGGGGGUUGGAAAUUUUCGGCGGUUGUGGAUGGACGCGCGGCUUAUCAGCUGGUUGGUCGGAGAGUGGCUUACCAAGGCUUUGGCGGGUCGCCGGCCUGAGAGGGUGAACGGGGACCAUGCGACUGAGGGACGGCGCAGUGGGGAACAGGAGGCAACAGUGGGGAAUCUUGCACAACGGGGGGGCGUGUGAUGAAGAAACGCCGGGUGUGGGAAGACCGUUUUGGGGUUGUAAACCGCAUUAGGCUGUGACGAAGCGUGAGUGACGGUAAUGAGUAAAGAAGCACCGGCUAACUACGUG